GACGAACGCUGGCGGCGUGCUUUAGGCAUGCAAGUCGAACGCGAAAGCCCCUUCGGGGGUGAGUAGAGUGGCGAACGGGUGAGUAACACGUGGGUAACCUGCCCCUCGCAGGGGGAUAACCGGGGGAAACCCCGGCUAAUACCCCGUACGCUUGCUGGGGCGCAUGCUCCGGCAAGGAAAGGUAGCUUCGGCCAUCCGGCGAGGGAGGGGCCCGCGGCCCAUUAGCUAGUUGGUGGGGUAACGGCCCACCAAGGCGACGAUGGGUAGCUGGCCGGGGAGGGGGGUCAGCCACACUGGGACUGAGACACGGCCCAGACUCCUACGGGAGGCAGCAGACAGGAAUCUUGCGCAAUGGGCGAAAGCCUGACGCAGCAACGCCGCGUGGGCGAUGAAGGCCUUCGGGUCGUAAAGCCCUGUUGUCGGGGACGAAGGGCGAAGGGUUAAUAGCCCCUAGCCUGACGGUACCCGACGAGGAAGCCCCGGCUAACUACGUGCCAGCAGCCGCCGUAA
RNAcentral lists this ribosomal RNA (510 nucleotides) under uncultured bacterium. Its description in RNAcentral is "partial 16S ribosomal RNA". It matches the Rfam family "Bacterial small subunit ribosomal RNA", at positions 28 to 523 of the family's 1533-position model. The record is from RNAcentral.